AGACAAAAAUCUGUUCCCAGUUAUCUGCAAUCCAUGACUCUAAAACUCUUCUCCAGACACAGGCUCCUCUGGUCCUACAUAUCAGAUGUGUCAGGUACGUAACUUUUGAAUUCUUUAAUUUAGUGUGAUUAUGACAUAUUUGCCAAACAUGAAGCAAGAUUUAAAUAUCAAUAAAUCAGCUGCAUUGUUUACAUUGUAAGGGAAUCAGAACGCUGUAAUUUAUAUAUACAUUAUUUUUAUUAUUAUUUAUUAUUAUUAUCACCCACUCUCCAUCCCAAUCUAAUAAAUAGCAUUAUUCUUGGGUGUUAAACAGGGUCACAGAGCAUACUUGUUUGAUCAGGCAUCCAAAUAUGAUUUUCAGAUGUUCUUUUUGGCAGUCACACAGAACUAAUGUGAAGUAGCUGAAGUGUGUCACUGAGCACAUGGGCAACUUAUGUGUUACCAGUUAAUUUUGUAAAGUCUUCAGAUGUUGUGGCUGUUAAUAUCAAUACUGUGGGUAGAAGCUGAUCCCUGUUUACAAAAUAUUGGAAAAGAGUGAGCUUCUAAACUUCAGAAAAAUCUGUUGUCCUAAACUUCAAUUCUCAUCCCAAAAUAUAAUUCCUACAAUCAUACAAAAGUGAGGACACUUCUACAAUACAUGGAUCACAGCUGUAUGAGCCUUCUGUUUUGGAAGUUUCAUGUUUUCUGUUUCUUUGAUUCUGUGCUGGAAAACAUCUAAUACGAGGCAUGCAUACAACAUCUAGAUGAGGUGCAUCUGAUACAUCAGCACAUCUGGAAAUGUGAUGAUUUAUUGUACUGUAGCCUCAUUUUUAUGAGGCAUUUAAAACUGUCUUUUCAUAUAUUUAAUAUGGAAUCACUAGUAGUUGAUAAUGGCUUUUCAUCUGCUAUAUAUAGAAUGAUGACUAAAAGAUGAAUGAUGUUAACAAUGUUGACAAGGCUGAAACACAAUGCAAUUACAAAAGCAAGGAUAUUUGCUAUUAUUUGAGAAAAAUGUAUUUUAUAAUCAUGAAAUGCUCUACAUUGCUUCUCAUCAAAGUGUAAAUGUUUUUUCCCUGCAGAAGCACCACUAACAAUAACCUAAUGAAUUUGGGAUGAUCAAUAACAACACUUAGAUGUCUUGAGCAUUAUCUGUAAACUUAAUAUGUUUUAUCUAAGUUAAUUGUAAGGGGAACAGACGGCAAAUUUCAUAGCUUUUAAAGUUGUCCCAGUCUGAAUAGUAUAAAAAAGAGAGGCUAAGUAUAAAAUGCUGUAGAUCCAGAUGCGUAAUUUCACUUGUUAAUGUGUCAGACAGCAAAGAACAGAAAAAAUGAAAAAGAUGACAGGUCCUGCCCACCCUGUUGACUGAGCUGGAUGAGUACAUUUUCCUGUGAUCGUGGGCUUUCCUGACACUGCUGUAAAUUGCAAGAGCAAUGUAUGUGUCUUCAGCAAGCAUACAGCUCUCCUUCAGAUAUUUAAAGGCCACUAUCAGGUCACCCUGUGGCCUUCUCUUCUCCAGCCCUCUCAGACUGUCCUUGUAGGAGAGAUGUUCCAUUCCUUGGAUCGUUUCUGAGGCCCUUCUCUGGACGCACUCCAACAGGUCUAUGUCUCCCCUGUACUGAGGACUCUACAUCUGGACACAGUACUCCAGGUGAGGUCUCACCAGUGCAGAAUAGAGGGGCAGGAUCACCUCCCUUGAGCUGCUGGCCAUGCAUCUUUUGAUGCAACCCUGGAUACAGUUGGCUUUCUGGGCUGAUGAAGGGGUUUUGAGGAGCUUUAUGAGGCAGGAUCUGAGAAGAUUGCCUCUCUUCGUCUUUCCCUCUUCAUUCUUUCUCAUCCAAUAUAAUAAUCCAUCAGCACACACUCAGGUGUUCUCCAGUGUUUGACUUUGGAAGAAGACUCCUGAGUUAUGCAGCAAGCACACGUGGCCAUGGGAUGUGCUAAAGAACGCUUGUUUACAAGCUUAAAAAAAAUGUUUUACAUUUUUAUCAAAGAAAACUGAAAAGCAAUAGCACGUUCAGUAUCAAGCAUCAUUUUGAGUUUUGUGUGUAUCUUUAUAUUAUGUAAUUUAAUUAUUUCCAAAUUUGUACUUUAAAUUUACUUCAGUUUUAUACACCGAUAUUGCACAGCUUACCUUGAGUCUAGCACUAUAUUUCUCACUGCUGAAUGUGCUAUGUGAUGUAAUUUGGAGAGAAAAGCAGCAGCGCGAUUUUUGACAAACACAGAUGUUGGCAAUUGUAAAGGUACUCAAUUAAUGGCUUAAGAGAUAUAGAAAAAUUUGACUUAGCAUUACAGACAGAAAGAUUUAAUUACAAAUCAAAUUGUGAAAUAUUUUUUUUCAAUUUUUUGUUUAACUUCUUUUUACUCUGAUGAGAACCUCUGUCUGGUGCUAUUGAGCAUAUCUGAUGUCCUGCAGCCUCCUUUCUGAGAUGCAUCAUCGCUCUUAGCAGCACGUCCUGAUUUU
This is a long non-coding RNA of Gallus gallus (chicken), 2440 nucleotides long. The record is from Ensembl. NCBI's taxonomy places the organism in Eukaryota, Metazoa, Chordata, Aves, Galliformes, Phasianidae.